Molecule: transfer RNA, 73 nt
Filed under: Chloropicon sp. RCC4434
Lineage: Eukaryota; Viridiplantae; Chlorophyta; Chloropicophyceae; Chloropicales; Chloropicaceae
Description: tRNA-Val
Rfam family: tRNA
About the family: Transfer RNA (tRNA) molecules are approximately 80 nucleotides in length. Their secondary structure includes four short double-helical elements and three loops (D, anti-codon, and T loops). Further hydrogen bonds mediate the characteristic L-shaped molecular structure. tRNAs have two regions of fundamental functional importance: the anti-codon, which is responsible for specific mRNA codon recognition, and the 3' end, to which the tRNAs corresponding amino acid is attached (by aminoacyl-tRNA synthetases). tRNAs cope with the degeneracy of the genetic code in two manners: having more than one tRNA (with a specific anti-codon) for a particular amino acid; and 'wobble' base-pairing, i.e. permitting non-standard base-pairing at the 3rd anti-codon position.
Source: RNAcentral
AGGCCUUUAGCUCAGUUGGUAGAGCGUGUGCCUUACAAGCACAAUGUCAUCGGUUCGAUCCCGGUAGGGCCUA